GACGAACGCUGGCGGCGUGCUUAACACAUGCAAGUCGAACGGUAAGGCCCUUCGGGGUACACGAGUGGCGAACGGGUGAGUAACACGUGGGUGAUCUGCCCUGCACUUCGGGAUAAGCCUGGGAAACUGGGCCUAAUACCGGAUAGGACUCCGGACUGCAUGGUCUGGGGUGGAAAGCUUUUGCGGUGUGGGAUGGGCCCGCGGCCUAUCAGCUUGUUGGUGGGGUGAUGGCCUACCAAGGCGACGACGGGUAGCCGGCCUGAGAGGGUGACCGGCCAAACUGGGACUGAGAUACGGCCCAGACUCCUACGGGAGGCAGCAGUGGGGAAUAUUGCACAAUGGGCGCAGGCCUGAUGCAGCGACGCUGCGUGAGGGAUGACGGCCUUCGGGUUGUAAACCUCUUUCAGCAUCGACGAAGCGAAAGUGACGGUAGGUGCAGAAGAAGGACCGGCCAACUACGUGCCAGCCGCCGCAGUAA
Molecule: ribosomal RNA, 478 nt
Filed under: uncultured bacterium
Lineage: Bacteria
Description: partial 16S ribosomal RNA
Rfam family: Bacterial small subunit ribosomal RNA
Source: RNAcentral